RNAcentral lists this long non-coding RNA (419 nucleotides) under Felis catus (domestic cat). Its description in RNAcentral is "lncRNA (ENSFCAG00000049994.1)". Lineage: Eukaryota; Metazoa; Chordata; Mammalia; Carnivora; Felidae. The record is from RNAcentral.
CUUUCACCCCUCCACGACCUCAGCACAUACAUACGUUCUGCCCCACCGGCCCUCAGCGAAGCAGUCCUCCAGCGCGCAGCUGCGAGUGAGUGAGCACGUGGUGCGCAGACCCUCUGGACGCAUGCGCACCGGCACCCAGUUCCUCCCUGGUGUGAGAGCCUCAGACUCUGCAGGGGGAAGGUGCGCUGUUCUGAGGCCCCUGGACAGGCAAGCCUCCUGGGUGGCAAACCAAGGAGAGGAGCUGGAAGUCCUUGGCAUUCACAGCCAUACACUAAACCAGACUAAAAAUUGGCAUAGACACAGGCCCACAUCUGGAGGAUAUUAGUCUGCCCAAAGGAAUUCAGCCUGUGAACUGGUCUUUAUCACUGUGUUUCAAAGGGAGAGAAACAAAACAACAAUAAGAAAACAAAACAAAGGUG